RNAcentral lists this ribosomal RNA (431 nucleotides) under uncultured bacterium. Its description in RNAcentral is "bacterial SSU rRNA". It matches the Rfam family "Bacterial small subunit ribosomal RNA", at positions 30 to 459 of the family's 1533-position model. The record is from RNAcentral.
AUUGAACGCUGGCGGAAUGCUUUACACAUGCAAGUCGAACGGCAGCACGGGGGCAACCCUGGUGGCGAGUGGCGAACGGGUGAGUAAUACAUCGGAACGUGCCCAGUCGUGGGGGAUAACGUAGCGAAAGCUACGCUAAUACCGCAUACGAUCUACGGAUGAAAGCGGGGGAUCGCAAGACCUCGCGCGAUUGGAGCGGCCGAUGGCAGAUUAGGUAGUUGGUGGGGUAAAGGCUCACCAAGCCUUCGAUCUGUAGCUGGUCUGAGAGGACGACCAGCCACACUGGGACUGAGACACGGCCCAGACUCCUACGGGAGGCAGCAGUGGGGAAUUUUGGGACAAUGGGCGAAAGCCUGAUCCAGCCAUGCCGCGUGCAGGAUGAAGGCCUUCGGUUGUAACGUAGCUUUUGUUACGGUACGAAAGAACGUACU